This 498-nucleotide ribosomal RNA is filed under the name uncultured bacterium. RNAcentral describes it as "partial 16S ribosomal RNA". It matches the Rfam family "Bacterial small subunit ribosomal RNA", at positions 30 to 523 of the family's 1533-position model. The record is from RNAcentral.
AUUGAACGCUGGCGGCAUGCCUUACACAUGCAAGUCGAACGGUAACAGGUCUUCGGAUGCUGACGAGUGGCGAACGGGUGAGUAAUACAUCGGAACGUGCCUAGUAGUGGGGGAUAACUACUCGAAAGAGUGGCUAAUACCGCAUGAGAUCUACGGAUGAAAGCAGGGGAUCGCAAGACCUUGUGCUACUAGAGCGGCCGAUGGCAGAUUAGGUAGUUGGUGGGAUAAGAGCUUACCAAGCCGACGGUCUGUAGCUGGUCUGAGAGGACGAUCAGCCACACUGGGACUGAGACACGGCCCAGACUCCUACGGGAGGCAGCAGUGGGGAAUUUUGGACAAUGGGCGCAAGCCUGAUCCAGCAAUGCCGCGUGCAGGAUGAAGGCCUUCGGGUUGUAAACUGCUUUUGUACGGAACGAAAAGCCCUGGGUUAAUACCCUGGGGUCAUGACGGUACCGUAAGAAUAAGCACCGGCUAACUACGUGCCAGCCGCCGCCGUAA